This 169-nucleotide small RNA is filed under the name Chelonoidis abingdonii (Abingdon island giant tortoise). RNAcentral describes it as "TUC338 (ENSCABG00000002644.1)". The record is from RNAcentral. Lineage: Eukaryota; Metazoa; Chordata; Testudines; Testudinidae.
UUGACAACAUUAGAGACUGAAUUCCUCUAUUUAUCAAUAGAAAGUUACAGCACAGAAAGCAACUAUAAGGUUCAUCACAAUGCCCUGCUACCAUGCCUGAACUCUGACCUGGAAGGACAUUUAGCAGGUAAGUAGCUGAGUCUCUACAGACAUUCAGUCCUUAAACUCU